This 367-nucleotide unclassified non-coding RNA is filed under the name Pelagimonas varians. RNAcentral describes it as "cspA". The record is from RNAcentral. Lineage: Bacteria; Pseudomonadati; Pseudomonadota; Alphaproteobacteria; Rhodobacterales; Roseobacteraceae.
AUCGGCCACACUGCUCCUUUCGGCUCAGUCAUUCGAUCUUGCACUGAUAAAGCCGCUCUGUCGCAUUCCGCGGACAGGAUUACUAGGAGACUUACAAUGGCUAAUGGCACUGUAAAAUGGUUCAACACAACUAAAGGCUUCGGCUUUAUCGCACCAGACGGUGGUGGCAAGGACGUGUUUGUACACAUUUCUGCCGUUGAACGCGCUGGUCUGACCGGCCUGUCCGACAACCAGAAAGUGACUUUCGACAUCGAGCCCGGCCGUGACGGUCGUGAGAGCGCGUCGAACAUCGCACUGGCCUAAAUUGUCCCGACGGACGUUUAGCUAAGAAUUUUAAAGGGCUCAUCAGAAAUGAUGAGCCCUUUUG